UACGUAGGGCGCAAGCGUUGUCCGGAAUUAUUGGGCGUAAAGAGCUCGUAGGCGGCUUGUCACGUCGGGUGUGAAAGCCCGGGGCUUAACCCCGGGUCUGCAUUCGAUACGGGCAGGCUAGAGUUCGGUAGGGGAGACUGGAAUUCCUGGUGUAGCGGUGGAAUGCGCAGAUAUCAGGAGGAACACCGGUGGCGAAGGCGGGUCUCUGGGCAGUAACUGACGCUGAGGAGCGAAAGCGUGGGGAGCGAACAGG
Molecule: ribosomal RNA, 253 nt
Filed under: uncultured bacterium
Lineage: Bacteria
Description: partial 16S ribosomal RNA
Rfam family: Bacterial small subunit ribosomal RNA
Source: RNAcentral